Molecule: ribosomal RNA, 792 nt
Filed under: uncultured archaeon
Lineage: Archaea
Description: bacterial SSU rRNA
Rfam family: Archaeal small subunit ribosomal RNA
Source: RNAcentral
ACUGCUCAGUAACACGUGGAUAACCUACCCAAGAGUCCGGGAUAACCCCGGGAAACUGGGGAUAAUACCGGAUAGAUCACUUCGGCUGGAAGGCGUUGUGGUUGAAACUUCCGGGGCUUUUGGAUGGGUCUGCGGCUGAUUAGGUUGUUGCCGGUGUAAUGUACCGUCAAGCCUGUAAUCAGUACGGGUUGUGGGAGCAAGAGCCCGGAGAUGGGUUCUGAGACACGAAUCCAGGCCCUACGGGGCGCAGCAGGCGCGAAAACUCUACAAUGCAGGCAACUGCGAUAGGGGAACAUCGAGUGAUCCUCAUAUUGGGGGUCUGUCCACUCGCCUAAAAAGCGGGUGUUAGCAAGGGCCGGGCAAGACCGGUGCCAGCCGCCGCGGUAAUACCGGCGGCUCGAGUGGUGGCCGAUAUUAUUGAGUCUAAAGGGUCCGUAGCCGGCUUUGCAAGUCUCUCGGGAAAUCCAGCGGCUUAACCGUUGGUCGUCCGGGGGGUACUACAUUGCUUGGGACUGGGAGAGGUAGGAGGUACUCAGGGGGUAGGAGUGAAAUCCUGUAAUCCUUUGGGGACCACCGGUGGCGAAGGCGUCCUACCAGAACAGGUCCGACGGUGAGGGACGAAAGCUAGGGGCACGAACCGGAUUAGAUACCCGGGUAGUCCUAGCCGUAAACGAUGCUCGCUAGGUGUCACAACAGUCGUGAACUGUUGUGGUGCCGUAGGGAAGCCGUGAAGCGAGCCACUUGGGAAGUACGACCGCAAGGUUGAAACUUAAAGGAAUUGGCGGGGGAGCA